UCUCCGUGGGUGAACCAGCGGAGGGAUCAUUACAGAGUUGCAAAACUCCCAAACCAUUGUGAACGUUACCUAUCCCGUUGCUGAGGCGGGCUGACCGGCCCCCGACCCCGGCGCCCCCCGGCCCCCCGUGGGCGCCCGCCGGAGGUAGACCAAACCCUUGAAUUGUCUGGCCUCUCUGAGUCUUCUGUACUGAAUAAGUCAAACUUUCAACAACGGAUCUCUUGGUUCUG
This 230-nucleotide unclassified non-coding RNA is filed under the name plant metagenome. Its description in RNAcentral is "partial contains small subunit ribosomal RNA, internal transcribed spacer 1, and 5.8S ribosomal RNA". The record is from RNAcentral.